GAUGAACGCUGGCGGCGUGCCUAAUACAUGCAAGUCGAGCGAACGGACGAGAAGCUUGCUUCUCUGAUGUUAGCGGCGGACGGGUGAGUAACACGUGGAUAACCUACCUAUAAGACUGGGAUAACUUCGGGAAACCGGAGCUAAUACCGGAUAAUAUUUUGAACCGCAUGGUUCAAAAGUGAAAGACGGUCUUGCUGUCACUUAUAGAUGGAUCCGCGCUGCAUUAGAUAGUUGGUAAGGUAACGGCUUACCAAGGCAACGAUGCAUAGCCGAACUGAGAGGGUGAUCGGCGACACUGGAACUGAGCCACGGUCCAGACUCCUACGGGAGGCAGCAGUAGGGAAUCUUCCGCAAUGGGCGAAAGCCUGACGGAGCAACGCCGCGUGAGUGAUGAAGGUCUUCGGAUCGUAAAACUCUGUUAUUAGGGAAGAACAUAUGUGUAAGUAACUGUGCACAUCUUGACGGUACCUAAUCAGAAAGCCACGGCUAACUACGUG
RNAcentral lists this ribosomal RNA (497 nucleotides) under uncultured bacterium. RNAcentral's name for it is "partial 16S ribosomal RNA". It matches the Rfam family "Bacterial small subunit ribosomal RNA", at positions 28 to 507 of the family's 1533-position model. The record is from RNAcentral.